AAGUCGUAACAAGGUUUCCGUAGGUGAACCUGCGGAAGGAUCAUUAUCGAGUUUUUGAACGGGUUGUAGCUGACCUCUCACGAGGUAUCGUGCACGCCUGGCUCAUUCCACUCUCAACCUCUGUGCACCUUUUGUAGGAAGACGGUGGACGAGGCCUUCGAAAGUCGGCCUUCGAAGCCUUUCUUACGUUUUUAUCACAAACGCUUCAGUUAAAGAAUGUCUGUCUGCGGAUAACGCAUCUAUAUACAACUUUCAGCAACGGAUCUCUUGGCUCUC
This 276-nucleotide unclassified non-coding RNA is filed under the name fungal sp. RNAcentral's name for it is "partial internal transcribed spacer region". The stretch from base 1 to 46 matches the Rfam family "Eukaryotic small subunit ribosomal RNA", at positions 1786 to 1831 of the family's 1831-position model. Lineage: Eukaryota; Fungi. The record is from RNAcentral.